Molecule: microRNA precursor, 61 nt
Filed under: Panagrellus redivivus
Lineage: Eukaryota; Metazoa; Nematoda; Chromadorea; Rhabditida; Panagrolaimidae
Description: microRNA prd-mir-7893 precursor
Source: miRBase by way of RNAcentral
CUGUUGCUUGUGGAUCGUUGUUGUGAACUUUGAAUUCAACAACGAUCUGGAGGCAAUUGAC